GUGCCAGCAGCCGCGGUAAUACGGAGGAUCCAAGCGUUAUCCGGAAUCAUUGGGUUUAAAGGGUCCGUAGGCGGUCUAAUAAGUCAGUGGUGAAAGCCCAUCGCUUAACGAUGGAACGGCCAUUGAUACUGUUAGACUUGAAUUAUUGGGAAGUAACUAGAAUAUGUAGUGUAGCGGUGAAAUGCUUAGAUAUUACAUGGAAUACCAAUUGCGAAGGCAGGUUACUAUCAAUAUAUUGACGCUGAUGGACGAAAGCGUGGGGAGCGAACAGGAUUAGAUACCCUGGUAGUCC
Molecule: ribosomal RNA, 292 nt
Filed under: uncultured bacterium
Lineage: Bacteria
Description: partial 16S ribosomal RNA
Rfam family: Bacterial small subunit ribosomal RNA
Source: RNAcentral